AAACUCAAAGGAAUUGACGGGGAGCACCACAACGGGUGGAGCUUGCGGUUUAAUUGGAUUCAACGCCGGAAAUCUUACCGGGACCGACAGCAAUAUGAAGGCCAGGCUGAAGACUUUGCCGGAUUAGCUGAGAGGUGGUGCAUGGCCGUCGUCAGUUCGUACUGUGAAGCAUCCUGUUAAGUCAGGCAACGAGCGAGACCCACGCCCACAGUUGCCAGCGUACUCUCUGGAGUGACGGGUACACUGUGGGACCGCCGCUGCUAAAGCGGAGGAAGGAAUGGGCAACGGUAGGUCAGUAUGCCCCGAAUAUCCCGGGCUACACGCGAGCUACAAUGGUUGGUACAAUGGGUAUCUACCCCGAAAGGGGACGGGAAUCUCCUAAAACCAAUCUUAGUUCGGAUUGAGGGCUGCAACUCGCCCUCAUGAAGCUGGAAUCCGUAGUAAUCGCGUUUCAACAGAACGCGGUGAAUACGUCCCUGCUCCUU
Molecule: ribosomal RNA, 485 nt
Filed under: uncultured Methanosaeta sp.
Lineage: Archaea; Methanobacteriati; Methanobacteriota; Methanomicrobia; Methanotrichales; Methanotrichaceae
Description: bacterial SSU rRNA
Rfam family: Archaeal small subunit ribosomal RNA
Source: RNAcentral